Molecule: unclassified non-coding RNA, 363 nt
Filed under: uncultured Tylopilus
Lineage: Eukaryota; Fungi; Basidiomycota; Agaricomycetes; Boletales; Boletaceae
Description: sequence contains ITS2
Source: RNAcentral
AAUAUUCAUCAACCAUGUCUGGAUUCAUUUCCAGCCAUGGCUUGGACUUGGGAGUUGCCGGUCGUCAUGAUCGGCUCUCCUUAAAUGCAUUAGCAGAGGGGGUCGAGCUUUUUAGUCUUCUUUGGCGUGCACGGCUCUGGGCGUGAUAGUGAAUGGAUCGUCCUGGCUGGAGCGUCGAAGAAAUAUAGACUAUGCUUUUCCUGUCCUUUGCUUCUAAUCUUAUGAUUGGUCAUCUGAUCAGACAAGACUUUUAAGCUUACUAGUCGAGACGAACGCGGUCAUCCAUGAUGGCUUAGCUAUUAGUCGAGACGAAAUGCUGAGAGUCUUUGAAGGGAAAGAUGGUUCGAGACUCUUAUUUGAAAC